UACAAACAAACAAACAAACGCAAGACGAAGCCAGUUCGAGAUACUCUAAAAAGCAGUAAUUGAAUAACGUUAUCUAGCUACUUCUGAAAAUGAUGACAUGAUACAAGACAAUUGUUUUAAAGCUGCGAUGAAGGGGAUUCGAGCAGUCCAGUUCUACCAGGGGACUGGUAUCGGGGCAGCUCGGUCUCAUCUGAGCUGCAGGAUGAAUAUGAAGAACUUCUCCACCAUGCAGUAGUCAGUCCUAAGUAUGAGCCGCAGCCCAGUGCUCAACUGCAGCUUCUGAACGCAUCUCAACUGUCUGCAGAUGAACGGAGUUCCCGUGGAAACAAUGACGCUAGGCCCUAACACUCAGCAGGUAAUGAAAAGAUGGCCGGUAGGUCGUCUGCGGUCUCAGACAGACUGCAGACGCUGUUUGAGAGGUGCAGACACAGCAGCCCAGAC
Non-coding RNA from Salmo salar (Atlantic salmon), 441 nucleotides. The record is from RefSeq and is a predicted model, not a curated record. Lineage: Eukaryota; Metazoa; Chordata; Actinopteri; Salmoniformes; Salmonidae.